GGCCUCGUGGCCCAAUGGCAAGGCGUCUGACUACGAUUGAGUAAAUCAGGAGAUUCUGGGUUCGACCCCCAGCGAGGUCA
Non-coding RNA from Nemania sp. NC0429, 80 nucleotides. The record is from the annotation of a GenBank genome assembly. Lineage: Eukaryota; Fungi; Ascomycota; Sordariomycetes; Xylariales; Xylariaceae.